RNAcentral lists this ribosomal RNA (201 nucleotides) under Exophiala pisciphila. RNAcentral's name for it is "partial large subunit ribosomal RNA". It matches the Rfam family "Eukaryotic large subunit ribosomal RNA", at positions 82 to 279 of the family's 3401-position model. The record is from RNAcentral. Lineage: Eukaryota; Fungi; Ascomycota; Eurotiomycetes; Chaetothyriales; Herpotrichiellaceae.
AGUAACGGCGAGUGAAGCGGCAACAGCUCAAAUUUGAAAUCUGGCCUCUUUUGGGGUCCGAGUUGUAAUUUGUAGAGGAUGUUUUGGGUACCGCACUGGUUUAAAUUUCUUGGAACAGAAUGUCAGAGAGGGUGAGAAUCCCGUCUUGGACCGGCGGUAGGGCCCAUGUGAAACUCCUUCGACGAGUCGAGUUGUUUGGGA